Long non-coding RNA from Telopea speciosissima, 665 nucleotides. RefSeq lists it as uncharacterized. The transcript has 2 exons. The record is from RefSeq and is a predicted model, not a curated record. NCBI's taxonomy places the organism in Eukaryota, Viridiplantae, Streptophyta, Magnoliopsida, Proteales, Proteaceae.
GGACGGAAGGACUGCCUUCUGCUUCUUUGAAUGAAGAGAGGGGUCUUGUGCUCUAGAAGUCAAUGAACAAGCCAAUAGUGGAAAUGACUGUGAACUCAGAUUUGAUUCCUGGAUUAAGAAGUCAUGUCUUCUGGCCGAAGCAGACAAACCAAGUAAAGAAAGUGGAAGAUGAAUCAAUGGAUACAAGAAAAAACAUGGGGUUCAAAAAUGACUGCUUAGAAGUUGUUCCAUGGGUUCCAACUCAACUUCUGCAAACUCCGGAACAGCAAGGAUGUCAGAAACAGCAGUUUCAGAACAAAUGGAGGCUGAAGAAAUAGACUCGGUGAUGAUGGAGAUCGAAGAUGACAAUGUACAGGUCACCAGAGGUCAAGCAAAGGAAAUAGGUGGGAUUGAGGGGGGAGGUGAAACCUGGCAGCAACAGUAUUGUCUCACUCCACAGCUCCCUCAGAACGCAUCUACACCCAUCAUGUGGUCUUGCUAACAGACUCGUCUCUAGUGAGCCUGUGAUGCCUGGGGAGAGAUUGGACGAGAAGAGUAUUUUGGUGAGAUGGGUUCCUCCCUUACUGGUGUCAAAUAACUUUGGGAAGCUUUUUGUACAAGAAAUGUAGGUAGUAUGAAUUCUGAAUGCUUUCUGGAAUUGACAACUCUUGAGAUGUUCUCAGCUC